GUCAUAACUCUGGAGCUGGAAAUGGAAAAGGCUGUGAUCUGGGGCUGGCUGGCACAGUCCCUGUGAGUCAUUAUGGAAACACUGGCCCCGGAUGCUGCUGAGAAGGACUGGGUUGCUGGGGCCCAAACCAGAAACCUGGGGGCCAACUGAGGUUCGUCCACCUGCCCUUACUCCAGAUUCACUGGUCAGCAAGCAGGUCAGUUCUACCUUCUAACUAGCUCUACGUUUUGCUGCUGCUCUCUCUUCACCAUCAGGCAACUGUCUUUGUUCAGGUCCUGUUUCUUCCUUAUCUCAGUUACCAUCUGUAUUAAAUGGGUCCCCUGAAAAGCAGACUCCAAAACAAGGAUUUAGUGCAGGUAGUUUAUCUGAGAGGUGAUCCUGGGAAGCGCUCUGAGGGAGUCGGGAAGUGAGGGGAGACAAUAAAAAGUGUGCGAAUAGGUAGAUCACCACUGAGGACAACUGGGGCCCAAUCCACUGGGACUGACCCUGAGACACGUCAGGGAACAUGCCUCAGAAUUGUCUUCCUGAGACAUGAGGAAACUGGGGUAUUUAUCUACCAACUCGAGCCCUCUCCUGGGGCCAGAGUG
This 587-nucleotide long non-coding RNA is filed under the name Equus caballus (horse). RNAcentral's name for it is "lncRNA (ENSECAG00000045071.1)". The record is from RNAcentral. Lineage: Eukaryota; Metazoa; Chordata; Mammalia; Perissodactyla; Equidae.